This 384-nucleotide ribosomal RNA is filed under the name Ichthyophis cf. tricolor DJG-958. RNAcentral's name for it is "partial 12S ribosomal RNA". The stretch from base 42 to 384 matches the Rfam family "Bacterial small subunit ribosomal RNA", at positions 875 to 1384 of the family's 1533-position model. Lineage: Eukaryota; Metazoa; Chordata; Amphibia; Gymnophiona; Ichthyophiidae. The record is from RNAcentral.
UGCCUAGCUACAAACUGAAGAAUUACAACUACUUUCCGCCAGAACACUACGAGUAAACACUUAAAAAUCAAAGGACUUGGCGGUGCCCAAAAUCCACCCAGAGGAGCCUGUUCUAUAAUCGACAAUCCACGCUAAACCUCACCACUCUUUGCCAACAACAGCCUAUAUACCACCGUCUACAGCUCACCCCUUGAAGGUAAACAAGUGAGCAAAAUCAAUCUACUAAAAACGUCAGGUCAAGGUGUAGCACAUAGAAUGGAAAGAAAUGGGCUACAUUUUCUUACUAAGAAUAAUUACGAAAAAGCCAAUGAAAAAUUCUUAGAAGGCGGAUUUGGCAGUAAAAAGAAACAAUCAAAUUCUUUUUAACACGGCCCUUGGGCGCGC